RNAcentral lists this ribosomal RNA (483 nucleotides) under uncultured bacterium. RNAcentral describes it as "partial 16S ribosomal RNA". It matches the Rfam family "Bacterial small subunit ribosomal RNA", at positions 355 to 856 of the family's 1533-position model. The record is from RNAcentral.
UGGGGAAUAUUGGACAAUGGGGGCAACCCUGAUCCAGCCAUGCCGCGUGAGUGAUGAAGGCCUUCGGGUUGUAAAGCUCUUUUGGCGGGGACGAUGAUGACGGUACCCGCAGAAUAAGCCCCGGCUAACUUCGUGCCAGCAGCCGCGGUAAGACGAAGGGGGCUAGCGUUGUUCGGAAUUACUGGGCGUAAAGCGAGUGUAGGCGGUUGCCGUAGUCAGGUGUGAAAGCCUUGAGCUCAACUCAAGAAAUGCACUUGAUACUGGGUGACUAGAGGACCGGAGAGGAUAGUGGAAUUCCCCAGUGUAGUGGUGAAAUACGUAGAGAUUGGGAAGAACACCAGUGGCGAAGGCGGCUAUCUGGACGGUUACUGACGCUAAGACUCGAAAGCGUGGGGAGCAAACAGGAUUAGAUACCCUGGUAGUCCACGCCGUAAACGAUGGGUGCUAGACGUUGGCGAGCUUGUCGUCAGUGUCGCAGCUAAC